Molecule: unclassified non-coding RNA, 379 nt
Filed under: uncultured Alphaproteobacteria bacterium
Lineage: Bacteria; Pseudomonadati; Pseudomonadota; Alphaproteobacteria
Description: contains 16S-23S intergenic spacer region
Source: RNAcentral
UCCGGCUUAUCACCGGCAGUCCCCUUAGAGUGCCCAACUGAAUGAUGGCAACUAAGGGCGAGGGUUGCGCUCGUUGCGGGACUUAACCCAACAUCUCACGACACGAGCUGACGACAGCCGUGCAGCACCUGUGUUCCAGCCAGCCGAACUGAAGAGCCUCAUCUCUGAAGCUCAUACUGGACAUGUCAAGGGUCGGUAAGGUUCUGCGCGUUGCUUCGAAUUGAACCACAUGCUCCACCGCUUGUGCGGGCCCCCGUCAAUUCCUUUGAGUUUUAAUCUUGCGACCGUACUCCCCAGGCGGGAUGCUUAAAGCGUUAGCUGCGCCACUGAGCAGCAAGCUGCCCAACGGCUGGCAUUCAUCGUUUACGGCGUGGACUAC